AAUAAUAUGUACUUCAGAAUCUCAGUAAAUGACGAGUGGAUAUCCGUAUGAGCUAUACCGAAGCGAUGUUCGAGGUUUAGCCUUAAAUUUUAUUCUUGCUUAUUUUUUUUUUUCUUCUAAAGAUUACAUGGUAGUUUAGUAUACUUAAGGUUCAUUAUUCAUUAAUUUAUAUUAUUUAUCAGGUUAUUCUGGAAAUAGUUAUAGAAUAAGUAUUGGCUUAUUUCGUGCCAGCAGCUGCGGUUAUACGAUUAUAUACAAUAAAAAAUUAUUGGUUGACAGUUAAUUAUAUUUUGAGAAUUAAAUAAAUAUUAUUUGGUGAAAUAUUAAUAUUUAUUUUCUUUUAUAUUGAAGCUGUUAAAUUUUUAAUUAAACUAGGAUUAGAUACCCUAUUAUUUGAAAUGUAAAUUUUAAUAGCCUGGGUACUAUUAGUUAAGUUCUUUAAACUCAAAGAAUUUGGCGGUAUUUUAUCUAUUUAGAGGAACCUGUUCUAUAAUUGAUGCCUCACUGUUUACUUUACUUAAUUUAUUUGUUUGUAUAUCUCCGUUAUCAGAAAAUCUUUUUGGAGAAAAAAUUUUCUUGUUUUUUUAUUAAAAUUUAUUUCAGGUCAAGGUGCAGCUUAUAGUUAAGUGUAUGAUGGGUUACAAUAAUUUUUUUUUAUUAUGGAUUUAAUUUUGUAAUAUUUUAAUGAAGGUGGAUUUGAUAGUAAUUUAAAUUAUUUAAUUUAACUGAUAUUGGCUCUGAAGUGUGUACACAUCCGCCCGUCACUCUCGUUAUUAAUUGAAUUUCUAAUUUAUUUUAUAUGAGACAAGUCGUAACAUAGUAGGAGGUACUGGAAAGUGCAUUUAG
This 846-nucleotide non-coding RNA is filed under the name Erianthus versicolor. Lineage: Eukaryota; Metazoa; Arthropoda; Insecta; Orthoptera; Chorotypidae. The record is from RNAcentral.